UGCAAGUCGAGCGAACAGAAGGGAGCUUGCUCCCGGAUGUUAGCGGCGGACGGGUGAGUAACACGUGGGUAACCUGCCUGUAAGACUGGGAUAACUCCGGGAAACCGGAGCUAAUACCGGAUAGUUCCUUGAACCGCAUGGUUCAAGGAUGAAAGACGGUUUCGGCUGUCACUUACAGAUGGACCCGCGGCGCAUUAGCUAGUUGGUGGGGUAAUGGCUCACCAAGGCGACGAUGCGUACCCGACCUGAGAGGGUGAUCGGCCACACUGGGACUGAGACACGGCCCAGACUCCUACGGGAGGCAGCAGUAGGGAAUCUUCCGCAAUGGACGAAAGUCUGACGGAGCAACGCCGCGUGAGUGAUGAAGGUUUUCGGAUCGUAAAGCUCUGUUGUUAGGGAAAAACAAGUGCGAGAGUAACUGCUCGCACCUUGACGGUACCUAACCAGAAAGCCACGGCUAACUACGUGCCAGCACCCGCGGUAAUACGUAGGUGGCAAGCGUUGUCCGGAAUUAUUGGGCGUAAAGGGCUCGCAGGCGGUUUCUUAAGUCUGAUGUGAAACCCCCCGGCUCAACCGGGGAGGGUCAUUGGAAACUGGGAAACUUGAGUGCAAAAGAGGAGAGUG
RNAcentral lists this ribosomal RNA (624 nucleotides) under Bacillus amyloliquefaciens. Its description in RNAcentral is "bacterial SSU rRNA". It matches the Rfam family "Bacterial small subunit ribosomal RNA", at positions 56 to 663 of the family's 1533-position model. The record is from RNAcentral. Lineage: Bacteria; Bacillati; Bacillota; Bacilli; Caryophanales; Bacillaceae.